RNAcentral lists this unclassified non-coding RNA (327 nucleotides) under Hevea brasiliensis (rubber tree). The record is from RNAcentral. Lineage: Eukaryota; Viridiplantae; Streptophyta; Magnoliopsida; Malpighiales; Euphorbiaceae.
UCACAGAUCACACAUUCAUAGUAAUACCCAUCAUUUCCUUUCUUCUUGAAUGAAGAUAAAUCUGAACUUAGUUCACUCUUUGGCCUGCGUUUAGCAGCUGCAGUACUCCUGGGAGAUUCCAGGGCUGCUAACUUCUCUUCUUUACCAUUGGUAACGACUCGUCCAUACAAAAGCUUUUUUCGCUUGCGCUUCAAGACCCAGUUUCUGUUUAUCAUUUUAUUAGUAGUUGAACCACUAUCCUUCAUCUCUCAAUCCUCCGCAUUACAUUCGGAAGAUACGGAUUCGCCGGGGCAAAGGACGGGGUUUACACUUCUGACAUGGCAGCGC